CGAACGAACUCUGGUAUUGAUUGGUGCUUGCAUCAUGAUUUACAUUUGAGUGAGUGGCGAACUGGUGAGUAACACGUGGGAAACCUGCCCAGAAGCGGGGGAUAACACCUGGAAACAGAUGCUAAUACCGCAUAACAACUUGGACCGCAUGGUCCGAGUUUGAAAGAUGGCUUCGGCUAUCACUUUUGGAUGGUCCCGCGGCGUAUUAGCUAGAUGGUGGGGUAACGGCUCACCAUGGCAAUGAUACGUAGCCGACCUGAGAGGGUAAUCGGCCACAUUGGGACUGAGACACGGCCCAAACUCCUACGGGAGGCAGCAGUAGGGAAUCUUCCACAAUGGACGAAAGUCUGAUGGAGCAACGCCGCGUGAGUGAAGAAGGGUUUCGGCUCGUAAAACUCUGUUGUUAAAGAAGAACAUAUCUGAGAGUAACUGUUCAGGUAUUGACGGUAUUUAACCAGAAAGCCACGGCUAACUACGUGCCAGCAGCCGCGGUAAUACGUAGGUGGCAAGCGUUGUCCGGAUUUAUUGGGCGUAAAGCGAGCGCAGGCGGUUUUUUAAGUCUGAUGUGAAAGCCUUCGGCUCAACCGAAGAAGUGCAUCGGAAACUGGGAAACUUGAGUGCAGAAGAGGACAGUGGAACUCCAUGUGUAGCGGUGAAAUGCGUAGAUAUAUGGAAGAACACCAGUGGCGAAGGCGGCUGUCUGGUCUGUAACUGACGCUGAGGCUCGAAAGUAUGGGUAGCAAACAGGAUUAGAUACCCUGGUAGUCCAUACCGUAAACGAUGAAUGCUAAGUGUUGGAGGGUUUCCGCCCUUCAGUGCUGCAGCUAACGCAUUAAGCAUUCCGCCUGGGGAGUACGGCCGCAAGGCUGAAACUCAAAGGAAUUGACGGGGGCCCGCACAAGCGGUGGAGCAUGUGGUUUAAUUCGAAGCUACGCGAAGAACCUUACCAGGUCUUGACAUACUAUGCAAAUCUAAGAGAUUAGACGUUCCCUUCGGGGACAUGGAUACAGGUGGUGCAUGGUUGUCGUCAGCUCGUGUCGUGAGAUGUUGGGUUAAGUCCCGCAACGAGCGCAACCCUUAUUAUCAGUUGCCAGCAUUAAGUUGGGCACUCUGGUGAGACUGCCGGUGACAAACCGGAGGAAGGUGGGGAUGACGUCAAAUCAUCAUGCCCCUUAUGACCUGGGCUACACACGUGCUACAAUGGAUGGUACAACGAGUUGCGAACUCGCGAGAGUAAGCUAAUCUCUUAAAGCCAUUCUCAGUUCGGAUUGUAGGCUGCAACUCGCCUACAUGAAGUCGGAAUCGCUAGUAAUCGCGGAUCAGCAUGCCGCGGUGAAUACGUUCCCGGGCCUUGUACACACCGCCCGUCACACCAUGAGAGUUUGUAACACCCAAAGUCGGUGGGGUGUCCCUUCUUAAGGGAAUACCC
This 1429-nucleotide ribosomal RNA is filed under the name Lactiplantibacillus plantarum. RNAcentral describes it as "bacterial SSU rRNA". It matches the Rfam family "Bacterial small subunit ribosomal RNA". Lineage: Bacteria; Bacillati; Bacillota; Bacilli; Lactobacillales; Lactobacillaceae. The record is from RNAcentral.